CGUAGGUGGCAAGCGUUGUCCGGAAUUAUUGGGCGUAAAGCGCGCGCAGGCGGUUCCUUAAGUCUGAUGUGAAAGCCCCCGGCUCAACCGGGGAAGGUCAUUGGAAACUGGGGAACUUGAGUGCAGAAGAGAAGAGCGGAAUUCCACGUGUAGCGGUGAAAUGCGUAGAGAUGUGGAGGAACACCAGUGACGAAGGCGGCUCUUUGGUCUGUAACUGACGCUGAGGCGCGAAAGCGUGGGGAGCAAACAGGAUUAGAUACCCUGGUAGUCCACGCCGUAAACGAUGAGUGCUAAGUGUUAGAGGGUUUCCGCCCUUUAGUGCUGCAGCUAACGCAUUAAGCACUCCGCCUGGGGAGUACGGCCGCAAGGCUG
Molecule: ribosomal RNA, 372 nt
Filed under: uncultured organism
Description: bacterial SSU rRNA
Rfam family: Bacterial small subunit ribosomal RNA
Source: RNAcentral